GAGAUAAAAAUUUUUACGUAAAAAAUCAUAUGAAUAAAUGAAAUAUUAAUAUUUUAUAUGAUACAUCAGGAAUUAACCAAUCUAAUUAAACCCAUCCCAGUUCCUCUGUCCCUCGAUCCUCGUUUAUAUUCCAAAGCUCGAAAUGGAAAUUCAAGGAAACCAGUAGUUUUAGUUUGGAUUGGGACCAGAGUUUCACUAAAGAGGUUGCUUCCUUUACCCUCCUUGUCUUGUUACAUUCAUUCCGUAUAUAUUUUUCUUUUUCUUGUUUCCUUAGAAAGAACGUGUGAAAACCAAAUAUCAAUGUCUUGCGUUUGUCGUUGUCCUGCGAUGUCCUUGUCUUGAUUAAGACCUUUCGAUUCAUCCAUAAAGUACCAUUGCUAUAAUUUCUUUUCCCUCGCAAGAUAAGCAUCA
This 411-nucleotide long non-coding RNA is filed under the name Durio zibethinus. RNAcentral describes it as "long non-coding RNA (DZIB_LNC000639)". The record is from RNAcentral. Lineage: Eukaryota; Viridiplantae; Streptophyta; Magnoliopsida; Malvales; Malvaceae.